This 467-nucleotide ribosomal RNA is filed under the name uncultured bacterium. RNAcentral's name for it is "partial 16S ribosomal RNA". It matches the Rfam family "Bacterial small subunit ribosomal RNA", at positions 28 to 507 of the family's 1533-position model. The record is from RNAcentral.
GACGAACGCUGGCGGCGUGCUUAACACAUGCAAGUCGAACGGAAAGGCCCUGCUUUUGUGGGGUGCUCGAGUGGCGAACGGGUGAGUAACACGUGAGUAACCUGCCCUUGACUUUGGGAUAACUUCAGGAAACUGGGGCUAAUACCGGAUAGGAGCUCCUGCUGCAUGGUGGGGGUUGGAAAGUUUCGGCGGUUGGGGAUGGACUCGCGGCUUAUCAGCUUGUUGGUGGGGUAGUGGCUUACCAAGGCUUUGACGGGUAGCCGGCCUGAGGGGGUGACCGGCAACAUGGGACUUGGGAUACGGCCAGGACCCCACCGGGGGGAAGCGGUGGGAAUAAUGCCAAAUGGGGCGGAGGCCGGAUGAAGAACCGCCGGGUGGGGAAGGCCGGCUUUGGGGUGGAAACCCGUUUCGGCCUGUGAGGAGGCGUAGGGAAGGUAAAUGGUUAAAAAGCCACGGCUAACUAAGUU